This is a long non-coding RNA of Centruroides sculpturatus (bark scorpion), 258 nucleotides long. RefSeq lists it as uncharacterized. The transcript has 3 exons. NCBI's taxonomy places the organism in Eukaryota, Metazoa, Arthropoda, Arachnida, Scorpiones, Buthidae. The record is from RefSeq and is a predicted model, not a curated record.
CGUAGCGGGGUGGCAACAGAUGGCUCUUAAAAGGCUACCGUCGCGCCAUCUAGCCAGUUAUCUACCGACCACAUCGGUUCGGACUGACACCAGAAGGUUUCGAAGGCAUCCGCAUCAACGUUUCAUCUCUCGGACAUGUCCCACAUCCACACAAUCGGCACGUCUUCCUUUAAGAAGAACUUCCACUUCUUACGUUCUCUUAUAAAGUUUGGCAAUAUUUACCCGUGUUUUUUCUGGCAACUUUGAAGCAAUUUCGGA